RNAcentral lists this long non-coding RNA (1185 nucleotides) under Fragaria vesca (wild strawberry). RNAcentral describes it as "long non-coding RNA (FVES_LNC005152)". The record is from RNAcentral. Lineage: Eukaryota; Viridiplantae; Streptophyta; Magnoliopsida; Rosales; Rosaceae.
UAGUCGGCUAUAGUUAUUUUUUUAAAUUUUUUAUAUGGUUUAGCCGACGAAACAGACUAUAUUUUGUAGGCUAUAGUUAUUUUUUAAAAUUUUUUUAUAAGGUUUAGCCGACAAAACAUACUACAUUUCGUCGGCUAUAGUCUGGGAAAAUUUUUUUUAUUACAGACUUUAGCUGACGAAUAUCUUAAUUGUUUCGUCGGCUAAAGUCUGGGAAAAAAACCGACGACAUGUUUUUCGUCGGCUAAACUGCGGGACUAUAGCCGACGAAAAUUUUUUUUUCGUCGGCUAAAGUCAUCACAGACGAUCUUUUCCCGACAAAAUCUUAGCCGACGAUGGCUCGUCGGCUAAGAUCUUAGCCGAUGAAUUAAGCUAACAGGCCGACGAAAAUUUUUUGUCCGCUAAAGUGCUUGUCCUAGUAGUGUUAGGCUUAUUUCGGUGGCUACUGGCCUCCUUGAAGAUUUUUAUGUCUUCUAUUUCAAUCACAAAACAUGAACAAAUUUAUAUAUCACAUACGUAUUUAUCAUCCGAAUAAAUUAAGAAUAUAAAUUUAGAAUAUAAAUUUAGGUCUUCAUGCAUCAUAACGUUUUCUUCAUGCAUCAUAUAUAGAUUUCAAAAUGCAACCAAAGACAAUGGGUUCAUGCUUCAUGGUGAUUUGUUCAUCAUAUAAUCAAGGCUAGCAAAUAUGAAUUGGAAUUAAGAUAAGAAAACGUCACUCAUUGCAGAAUGGAUAAUCUCCAUCUUUUAUGUGUAGAACUGAGAAGACCAUUUGUGGAGCUACUCAGCCAAUCCAAAAACUUGAUUAAAUAAUGAUCCUCAUAUGGUUGAUCAUCGAUUUCAAAGGUUUCCAUGGCAAUGUAGAGCGAAUUCGAUGAAUCAAAUUCAAAGAUCAUCCUUUGUUUUUAGAGCUUCACAUGCAACAGAAAACAAGAUAAUGUUAGAACUAUUUGUGCUGAUAACGUGUUGUAAAACGAAAAUGAAUAGAUUGAGAGAGGAGAGAAACAACCAAGAGAAUGAGAGAAUGUGUGUAUUAUUGAGUAGGGAACCAUCUCUUAUAUAGAGAUGUAAUCAGUAUGUAAAUUAUAUGAAUAUCCCUAGUAAGCUAAUUUACAAGAAUGCCCAUUCAAUAAACUAUUUACAACAAAAACAACAAAAUAUAAAUACUUAUUUCUUUUUUNUUUUUUUUUU